Molecule: ribosomal RNA, 250 nt
Filed under: uncultured Chroococcidiopsis sp.
Lineage: Bacteria; Bacillati; Cyanobacteriota; Cyanophyceae; Chroococcidiopsidales; Chroococcidiopsidaceae
Description: partial 16S ribosomal RNA
Rfam family: Bacterial small subunit ribosomal RNA
Source: RNAcentral
CUAGCUGUAAACGAUGGAUACUAGGCGUUGAGAGUAUCGACCCUCUCAGUGUCGUAGCUAACGCGUUAAGUAUCCCGCCUGGGGAGUACGCGCGCAAGCGUGAAACUCAAAGGAAUUGACGGGGGCCCGCACAAGCGGUGGAGUAUGUGGUUCAAUUCGAUGCAACGCGAAGAACCUUACCAGGGCUUGACAUGUCCGGAACCCUGCCCAAAGGCGGGGGUGCCUACGGGAACCGGAACACAGGUGGUGC